This is a long non-coding RNA of Hevea brasiliensis (rubber tree), 587 nucleotides long. RefSeq lists it as uncharacterized. The record is from RefSeq and is a predicted model, not a curated record. The transcript has 2 exons. Lineage: Eukaryota; Viridiplantae; Streptophyta; Magnoliopsida; Malpighiales; Euphorbiaceae.
CUUGCAAUUGGGAGAGAUUGUGGUGAAAGAUGCAAGAGUUCCUGCAUCUUCUUUGGGUGGUGCUUGAGGCAUUCUUCUGAAGGAGAUGGAUCCAGCAUCAAGUAUGUUUAUUUUCCGAGUGUGAAAAUGACUUGGAGCGGGAACAGGUUAUGUGGCCAAUAUAUUGAGAUUGAAGAGCAUGUGUUACAUGAUUCUUCUCUUGCUUCGCAAAUAUGGAGAUUAUCUCUACAACUAUUGGUGUCCAGCAUGCAUCCCUCUAGAUAUUCAACACUAUAAGCUCAACACUAAGCAACUUGGUUCCAAACCAAUGGCCAUGGAUGGGUUUGAUUUUUUGCAAUUAGAAAAGAGAGGUUACAGCAGCUACUUCCAGAUGGAAGAAAUCAGUUUUUUCAGUCGAUAUUGCUAAGGCAAUGCAAUUUUCCAUGAUCUUCAAUUAGCCAAGGACUUGCAACUUGAUUCUUUCGAGGUUGAAAGCAAGAAUCUGUAUGUGAUUUUAACAAUUCUUCAAGACACACAUGAAGCUUCUCCAUUGGAUUUUCUAGUUGCUAAUAUGCUAUUUAACAAAUGAUUUUAGAUUUCUCCUUUCA